RNAcentral lists this unclassified non-coding RNA (140 nucleotides) under uncultured Ascomycota. Its description in RNAcentral is "sequence contains ITS1". Lineage: Eukaryota; Fungi; Ascomycota. The record is from RNAcentral.
UCGUGGGGCUCCGGCCCCGUCGAGAUAGAACCCUUGCCUUUUUCGAGCACCGUCCGUUUCCUCGGCAGGCCCGCCUGCCAACGGGGACUCAACCAAACCCUUUUCUCUCUGCAACAGUCUGAAAAAACAAACAAAUAUCA